RNAcentral lists this ribosomal RNA (490 nucleotides) under uncultured bacterium. RNAcentral's name for it is "bacterial SSU rRNA". It matches the Rfam family "Bacterial small subunit ribosomal RNA", at positions 21 to 507 of the family's 1533-position model. The record is from RNAcentral.
GGCUCAGAUUGAACGCUGGCGGAAUGCUUUACACAUGCAAGUCGAACGGCAGCACGGACUUCGGUCUGGUGGCGAGUGGCGAACGGGUGAGUAAUAUAUCGGAACGUGCCCAGUCGUGGGGGAUAACGUAGUGAAAAUUACGCUAAUACCGCAUACGAUCUAAGGAUGAAAGCGGGGGAUCGCAAGACCUCGCGCGAUUGGAGCGGCCGAUAUCAGAUUAGGUAGUUGGUGAGGUAAAGGCUCACCAAGCCAACGAUCUGUAGCUGGUCUGAGAGGACGAUCAGCCACACUGGGACUGAGACACGGCCCAGACUCCUACGGGAGGCAGCAGUGGGGAAUUUGGACAAUGGGGGAAACCCUGAUCCAGCAAUGCCGCGUGCAGGAAGAAGGCCUUCGGGUUGUAAACUGCUUUUGUACGGAGCGAAAAGGCUCUCUCUAAUACAGGGGGCUCAUGACGGUACCGUAAGAAUAAGCACCGGCUAACUACGUG